Molecule: long non-coding RNA, 480 nt
Filed under: Elaeis guineensis (African oil palm)
Lineage: Eukaryota; Viridiplantae; Streptophyta; Magnoliopsida; Arecales; Arecaceae
Description: long non-coding RNA (EGUI_LNC064710)
Source: RNAcentral
UGGGAUUUAUUUAAUGUAGAAGCUUGUCUGAAGACUGUCCGUGGGAGAGGUCCGAUUGCAUGAGGAAUCCGACAGAAGGAUGAUCGAUAGAAGAGUUCGGAAGGCAUUGUGGAAGUUUGUCUGCUAAAGGAGUCUAGAGGACACUGUGGAAGGUCGACUGCUGGAGGAGUCCGGAGGACACUGUGGAAGGUCGACUGCUGGAGGAGCUCGGAGAGAAUUUGUCCGUUGGAGGGGUCUGGUUGGCACUGUUAAAGUCCGAUUGGCGUUGUUGAAGGUUGAUGGUUGGAGAGCUAUGGAAGACAUCGGAGACAGUCGGUCAUUAUAGAAAUCUGGCUGCUGGAGCCCGUUCGUUGUAGAAAUUCAUCUGGAAUCCAUCCGCUGUAGAAGUUCGGACGGAGUCUGAUUUUUACAGAAGUCCGGAAGGAGGUCGCUUACUGUAGAAGCUCGGAUGGAGAUUGGUUGUCGUGGAAGUCCGAAUGG